Truncatella angustata is the source of this 92-nucleotide non-coding RNA. The record is from the annotation of a RefSeq genome assembly. Lineage: Eukaryota; Fungi; Ascomycota; Sordariomycetes; Amphisphaeriales; Sporocadaceae.
UCUCGAUUAGUAUAGUGGUCAGUAUGCCAGCUUGUCAAUCUUCAAGGAAGAACAACUCGCUGGAGACCGGGGUUCAAUUCCCCGAUCGAGAG